CCCCACUGCUAUCGGGAUAGGACUAAGACAUGCUAGUUGAGCGCCACAACCGGCGCAGCGCACAGCUCAGUAACACGUGGCUAAUCUGCCCUUGGGACCGGAACACCCCCGGGAAACUGGGGCUAAUUCUCGAUAGGUGAAGAACUCUGGAAUGAGUCUUUGCCGAAAAGAUUAUGAUCGCCCAAGGAUGAGGCCGCGACCGAUCAGGUUGUUGGUGAGGUAAUGGCUCACCAAGCCUUUUACCGGUGCGGGCCGUGAGAGCGGGAGCCCGGAGAUGGGCACUGAGACAAGGGCCCAGGCCCUACGGGGCGCAGCAGUCGCGAAAACUUUGCAAUACACGAAAGUGUGACAGGGCUAUCCCGAGUGCCAUCCGCUGAGGAAGGCUUUUACCCAGUCCAGAACGCUGGGGGAAUAAGGAGAGGGCAAGUCUGGUGUCAGCCGCCGCGGUAAUACCAGCUCUCCGAGUGGUGUGGAUGUUUAUUGGGCCUAAAGCAUCCGUAGCUGGCUAAGUUAGUCCUUUGUUGAAUCCACCGAAUUAAUCGUUGGAUUGCGGGGGAUACUGCUUGGCUAGGGGACGAGAGAGGCAGACGGUAUUUCCGGGGUAGGGGUGAAAUCCUAUAAUCCCGGGAAGACCACCAGUGGCGAAGGCUGUCUGCUAGAACGCGCCCGACGGUGAGGGAUGAAAGCUGGGGGAGCGAACCGGAUUAGAUACCCGGGUAGUCCCAGCUGUAAACGAUGCAGGCUAGGUGUUUGGACGGCCACGUGCCGUUCUAGUGCCGCAGGGAAGCUGUUAAGCCUGCCGCCUGGGGAGUACGAUCGCAAGAUUGAAACUUAA
This 835-nucleotide ribosomal RNA is filed under the name uncultured archaeon. RNAcentral describes it as "bacterial SSU rRNA". It matches the Rfam family "Archaeal small subunit ribosomal RNA", at positions 21 to 859 of the family's 1478-position model. The record is from RNAcentral.